GAGCUCCAUCCAAAUCGCCUUUGAGGAGGUGCCCCAAGUCCCACCCAGAGCCAGCAUCAGUCAUGUGACCUGCGUAGACCAAUCUGAGCAUACCAUGGUGCUGCGUUGCCAGCUCUCUGCUGAUGAGGUGCGGUUCCCAGUCUCUGUGACCCAGCAGUCCCCCGCUGCCGUCUCCAUGGAGACCUACCACGUCACUCUGACACUGCCACCAACACAGUUGGAAGUCAACCUGGAGGAAAUCCCUGGUGAGGGGCUGCUCAUAUCCUGGGCCUUCACUGAUCGCCCAGAUCUCAGCCUAACGGUGCUUCCCAAGCUUCAGGCCAGGGAGAGAGGUGAAGAACAAGUAGAGCUCUCCACAAUUGAGGAACUGAUCAAGGAUGCCAUAGUCAGCACUCAGCCAGCCAUGAUGGUCAACCUCAGGGCUUGCUCUGCCCCAGGAGGCCUGGUACCCAGUGAGAAGCCACCCAUGAUGCCCCAGGCUCAACCAGCCAUCCCCAGACCUAACCGGUUAUUCCUACGGCAGCUUCGGGCAUCUCACUUGGGAAAUGAGCUGGAAGGCACUGAGGAACUGUGCUGUGUAGCUGAACUUGACAACCCCAUGCAACAGAAGUGGACCAAGCCCACGAGGGCUGGAUCCGAGGUGGAGUGGACAGAAGACCUGGCACUGGAUCUGGGCCCCCAGAGCCGGGAGCUGACCCUCAAAGUGCUGAGGAGCAGCAGCUGUGGAGACAGUGGAGGUGACUGAGAAGACGACAACUGUGCUGAGUGACAGCAGUGGCCCCAGCAAUACCUCCCAUAGCAGCAGCCGGGACAGCCACCUUUCCAACGGCUUGGACCCUGUAGCAGAGACAGCGAUUCGCCAGCUGACAGAGCCCAGUGGGCGGGUGGCCAAGAAGACACCCACCAAGCGCAGCACUCUCAUCAUCUCUGGUGUUUCCAAGGUAACAGGGCUCUGGGGAGAGGAGCUGGGAUGGGGAGAAAGCCCUAAUGGGUCGGUCACUCCUGCCCAUUAAAACCCGUCCCUCCUGCCAGGUGCCCAUUGCUCAGGACGAGUUGGCGCUAUCCCUGGGCUAUGCGGCAUCCCUGG
This 1087-nucleotide small RNA is filed under the name Pongo abelii (Sumatran orangutan). RNAcentral describes it as "retained intron". Lineage: Eukaryota; Metazoa; Chordata; Mammalia; Primates; Hominidae. The record is from RNAcentral.